AUGACAAUGGAGGCCUUCGUCAUUGACGGAGGAAAUGAUGGGACAGCUGCCCGUUGGGGUUUGCGGCCUGUCACAGGUGAUCGGUCGUGGGGGUCGUACAUGAGGUUUGCAAGCAAUCCCAAUAACUCAAUGUAUGGUCAGCCGAUGGUGUAUGUGGAGUUCAUUUCAGUCACUGAUGUUGCCGGAUGCAGUAGCAGGGGUGGUGAGGUCGAGUUGGCCAUCACAUCAGCCCCUAGCAUCGGCCCAUCGGAACCGACGGGCGGCCAGCCUGUGUAUGACACAGGAUAUUGGUCGGCGGCCGUUGACAUGAGCGAACACGUGGAGGGAUUGCCGGAGGCGCUAGAUGAUGAUGAUCAUUCUUCUGCGUCUUCGGAGUCAAGCGGAGAAGAAGAUGUUCCUCCUCAGAGGGCGGUCGCGGCGGCACUACAACCUGGGUUUUUACAGGAUAUGAGCAUCACCAACGAAUUUCACUCUGCUUCUGGCCUAGGAGCGGGAAGCCUGGAGGUUGGGCAAGUUUUCCCAGAUAAGAAGUCUGCUUACCAGGCAAUGGGUAGCUAUGCAAUCAGCAUCCACCGCCAGCAUAGAGUGAAGCAGUUUGAUAAAAAAGAGUUGAAGGUCAUAUGCAUCCACACCGCGAAAGGUUGCCGCGGAAGAUUUCUCGCUAGACUGAAGCCUGGGGUAUGUCAGUCAUGGCAUAUCACAAAAAUAGUGGAGCAUACCUGUGAGCAAACUGGGACUCUUUCAGAUCACUGCAAUGUGACAGCAAAAUUUGUGGCACAGACGAUGGAAACAAUUGUGCAGGGAAGUCUCAACAUUAGUGUUAGGGCUCUGCAAAAAGAUGCAGAGGAUCUAAUUGGAUUCCCUGUUAGCUACAGCAAGGCUAGGCAUGCGAAGGAAAAUAUAGUCAAGAACUUGUAUGGUACCUAUGAGGAGGCAUAUUCUUAUGCCCCUAGAAUGCUUCAUCAAAUAGCAAGUGCUAAUAGGGGGACUCAAGUUUGGCAGAGAGAACGUCCAAACCCAAUGAACCCGGGUGAGCUAAUCCUGGACCGCUUAUUCUGGGCAUUCGCCCAGACUAUACAAGCCUUCAGGCACUGUCGCCCGGUAUUAUCUGUUGAUGGUACCUUUCUCACUGGAAAGUACAAGGGCACACUAUUGGUGGCGAUUGCAGCGGAUGCAAAUAAUCAGCUUCUUCCUAUUGCAUAUGCAUUGGUCGAGAGCGAGAACAAAGAUAGCUGGUUGUGGUUCCUGAGCUGCGUGAAGAUUGGUGUCGUGAAAGAGCGUAAAGGUGUUUGCAUCAUUUCUGAUCGCAACACUGGAUUAUUAAGCGCUCUUGAAAUAAUUAAGGCGUCGGAAGAAGAGUGGGGCUGGCCCGAUCUAGAGGGAAGGUGGUGCAUGAGGCAUUUGGCAGCAAACUUUUACUCCAAAUUCAAAAACAAGGAUUGGUUCAAGUUAUUCAAGAGGAUGUGCAUGCAAAAAACUGAAGCCAAAAUGAAUGCGAUAUGGGCAGGUAUCAAUGGUGAGAUCGACCGCGCGGCCUUGCCGCAGAGAGAAGACCGGAGGGGUCGUAGGACAGCCAUAAAUUUGAGCCAGUGGAUCACCGAGAAUUGCCCUCAUUUGGAGAAGUGGGCACAGGCUCACGACACCGGGGCUCGGUAUGGAAUAAUGACCAGCAACAUGUCAGAGGUGUACAAUGGUGUUCUUAAAGGGGUGCGAGCACUGCCUAUCACAGCCCUAAUUGAAGAAACUUGGAACCGGACCCUGUCAUACUUUGCAGACAGGGUCACCGUCGCCAAAGCACAAGUUGAAUUGAACAAGCCAUGGUCCGAGAAGAUGCAAAGACAUCUGGACGAGAAAGCAAAGAAGUCCCAAAGUCAUGGCUGCAGGAAAGUGGACGCACUUAGGAAUAAGUGGGAGGUCAAUGUGCGAGCCAAGUACGUUAAGGGUCACCACAGAGGAUCAAAAAAGCAAGCUGUCACCCUUGGCUCAACCUCCUAUGAGUGCACUUGUAACAAGCCCAAGCUUGAGGGCUACCCUUGCAGUCAUGUGCUCCGGGCGGCUGCUGUUCAAAAAAUCAGCGUCGAGCCAUACAUAUCGCCGUACUUUAAUAUGUACAAUCUGUACAACACUUGGAACGGUGAGUUCUGGGCUUGGGGCAUUGAUAUGAACUACAAAAUGUUGUGGCCAGAUGGGCCGAAAUGGGUUCCGAACACCGACUUGAUGAGAACCGCAAAGGGACGACGUCAAUCUAGGCGUCAUCGCAAUGACAUGGACCAUAGCCAGAUGGGAGAACCAAGGCGAUGCCGCGUUUGCAGGUGUCCUGGACAUUCACGCAAAGACUGCCCGUAUCGAGCCAACAACAACGCAUGA
Molecule: ribosomal RNA, 2367 nt
Filed under: Triticum aestivum (bread wheat)
Lineage: Eukaryota; Viridiplantae; Streptophyta; Magnoliopsida; Poales; Poaceae
Description: partial small subunit ribosomal RNA
Source: RNAcentral